UGGGGAAUAUUGGACAAUGGGCGAAAGCCUGAUCCAGCCAUGCCGCGUGUGUGAAGAAGGUCUUCGGAUUGUAAAGCACUUUAAGUUGGGAGGAAGGGCAGUUACCUAAUACGUGAUUGUUUUGACGUUACCGACAGAAUAAGCACCGGCUAACUCUGUGCCAGCAGCCGCGGUAAUACAGAGGGUGCAAGCGUUAAUCGGAAUUACUGGGCGUAAAGCGCGCGUAGGUGGUUUGUUAAGUUGGAUGUGAAAUCCCCGGGCUCAACCUGGGAACUGCAUUCAAAACUGACAAGCUAGAGUACGGUAGAGGGUGGUGGAAUUUCCUGUGUAGCGGUGAAAUGCGUAGAUAUAGGAAGGAACACCAGUGGCGAAGGCGACCACCUGGACUGAUACUGACACUGAGGUGCGAAAGCGUGGGGAGCAAACAGGAUUAGAUACCCACGUAGUCCCUGAGCGGGCUGGCAAGGCGCAU
This 472-nucleotide ribosomal RNA is filed under the name uncultured bacterium. RNAcentral's name for it is "bacterial SSU rRNA". It matches the Rfam family "Bacterial small subunit ribosomal RNA", at positions 355 to 825 of the family's 1533-position model. The record is from RNAcentral.